GGGGCUGAUUCUGGAUUCGACGGGAUUUGCGAAACCAAAGGUGCAUGCCGAGGGGCGGUUGGCCUCGUAAAAAGCCGCAAAAAAAUAGUCGCAAACGACGAAACCUACGCUUUAGCAGCUUAAUAACCUGCUUAGAGCCCUCUCUCCCUAGCCUCCGCUCUUAGGACGGGGAUCAAGAGAGGUCAAACCCAAAAGAGAUCGCGCGGAUGCCCUGCCUGGGGUUGAAGCGUUAAAACGAAUCAGGCUAGUCUGGUAGUGGCGUGUCCGUCCGCAGGUGCCAGGCGAAUGUAAAGACUGACUAAGCAUGUAGUACCGAGGAUGUAGGAAUUUCGGACGCGGGUUCAACUCCCGCCAGCUCCACCA
This 363-nucleotide transfer-messenger RNA is filed under the name Salmonella enterica. It matches the Rfam family "transfer-messenger RNA". Rfam says of the family: Bacterial tmRNA, also known as 10Sa RNA or SsrA, is named for its dual tRNA and mRNA-like properties. Its role is to liberate the mRNA from a stalled ribosome. RNAcentral also lists the same sequence under 1 other name. The record is from RNAcentral. Lineage: Bacteria; Pseudomonadati; Pseudomonadota; Gammaproteobacteria; Enterobacterales; Enterobacteriaceae.